CCUUUUUAUUUUAAAAAGCACAGCAUCCCGAAGUGCUGAGAAGAGGGCUGUGGCAAGGCUGUGGGUCCUGCCUACCGCCAUGUUUUUAGUCUAGAAUGAGACAGGAAAUGAGCCUGGCCCAUUUCCUGCCUCCUUAUAGACUCUACACAUGGGCCGUGAGUGGCUGCCAUUUUGUUUCUGUCUAUCAGAAGGCAGGUUCAUGAAAGACAUAAGUCGGCAGUUCUCCUCUCCGUGAACCGGGAACAUUUCCCUGGCGCGUGAGACGCUCAAUUACUCACACACCAAGGGAGAGAGAAAUGAAGUGCAACUCUCAGGAAUAGAUUCCCCAAAAGGAGAGCAGCUCUGUCAUGGCAUCUCUCCCCGGUUAUACAGAAGACAAAAAUGCAAAAUCCACACCUCUGGCUCUGAAUCAAAGGCCAGGAAGGUGGUCUGGUGACCCAUCACAAUACCAAGCAUCCACAUCCAAACAAUAGUGGCGUUGCUAUUGCUUGACACUGCAUAGAACCAUUCUACGCCAGAAUACCUCAAGGACACUUUGAAGAUUAAACUACAUACAACUCUGCUUCGAGGGGACACAGAGAGGCCCCAACCUAAGUUUUGCAGCUGUUGCUACCAAGUGACAUGAGAGUGUAAAGCAAGCAUGAGAAUAAAGGCCUGGCCUCCUGCAGCCACAGACUCUUUGCUUGCUGAGAAGAAUCCGGUCAUAACAGAGAGGUCUGGCUGAGACAGCAGCAGGCCCAACAUGGCGGGACUCAUGUCAAGCGGUGUGCAGGAGAAGCUCCUAAGAGAACCACCCCAUUAUGAGUUGCUGUCUGAAAGUAUGCUGAGAACCUGCAAAUGAAAGUCAAUUUCCAUCAAGAAUUUGCUGCCCUGCUAAGAGAGCCAACUUGGGGGGAAAAAAAAAUUGCUUGCUAUUGCCUGUGUAUAUGUGCUUUGUUGUUUGGUGGAAAGUACAGCAUCUGAAGAAUACUAUAGAAUUUUUUGUGACUAACCCUUUUAGCACUUUGUGUAUGCUCAAGUUAACUUUUUUUAACUCAACUGAAAUCGGUCAAGGCUCCAGGAUGUGAUUACAUUCCUGCUGAUUUAAUAAAGACCAAUGUUGAUUGGUGGACCCCCA
Molecule: long non-coding RNA, 1117 nt
Organism: Hemicordylus capensis (graceful crag lizard)
Lineage: Eukaryota; Metazoa; Chordata; Lepidosauria; Squamata; Cordylidae
Exons: 3
Source: RefSeq, a predicted model, not a curated record